AAGGAAAAAGAAAACUUUGGCCUUGGGUAUAUAAAAGAGUAAGUUAUUGACUUAAUUGCAAAGUACAUGUAACUGUAUAUUUAUUAUGUCAUGUAUGUUGCUCCACCCUAAUUUAAGUGGUGAGGCCCCUCAUGGGGGGGUCCUAGUAAUCACAUAAUCACCAUUUUUUUUGCCAAUAUAAUCACAUAAUCAUUAAAUAUUUGCUUAUCUUUAGUAAUCAAAUAAUCAUAAACUAAAAAUACAGUCCUAGGUAAUCAAAUAAUCAUGAAAUAUUUGGCUUAAUAAUCAAAUAAUCAUUAAAAAAACGGCCAAGUAAUCACAUAAUCAAAAACCCCAUGAGGGCCCUCAGUGGUACUCGGUGCAUUAAUGUAACAUUAAAUAUACAGUGAAUUUUAUCAAGGAUGAGGGUGUUUAAAAAAGAUUUAUUGAUAAAUAGUUAAUAUAUUAUAGACCUUUUGCAAUCAUAAUUGACUAGGAUUGUCAGUUUUCCUACUGAAGGUCAGCGGUUCUCUAUGGGCACUUUGGCUUCCUAGUUCCUACACCAAUAAAAACUCAUGACAGCCACGGAAUAGCACAAGUGUUUAAAAUUGCAUUUAACAACAAUCAAUCAAUCAGACAUCUCUAUUAAACAAAAACCUGUCUUUUUACCAUGUGUGGGCCCUUUUUGAUAAAUAUUUUACCCUGAGCAAAUGCGAGGGGUAAAAUAUCAGCAUAAAGGGACAACCCGUAGUAAAAUCACAAUAUAUUCAAGCCC
RNAcentral lists this long non-coding RNA (754 nucleotides) under Mytilus galloprovincialis (Mediterranean mussel). The record is from RNAcentral. Lineage: Eukaryota; Metazoa; Mollusca; Bivalvia; Mytilida; Mytilidae.